This 2549-nucleotide long non-coding RNA is filed under the name Homo sapiens (human). Its description in RNAcentral is "HSALNT0253571". Lineage: Eukaryota; Metazoa; Chordata; Mammalia; Primates; Hominidae. The record is from RNAcentral.
AUUCACUUAAUCUAAAAAGUUCUUGAUGAUGUCAACAUUGAUAAUAUCAGUAUUUUAAUAACUUAUUUUUCAAAUUACCUUUUAUAGAAUUCUUCUUUAAAAAUAUGUAUAUUUCUUUUCAAAGUUGCAAAAGUUAUGGUUACAAACAUUCAACAUUUUCAACACUUUCAAUUAACUACAAUUUUGAAAAAAAGAAUACUGGUGCUCCAACUGCUGAGGUACCAAGAACUCAGCCUCUCAGACCACCUGAGCCAGGGGCAUCAUUAGUCUGGAUGUCAAUUUUGGGUGGGAGGGGGCUGCCCCCCCUUCUUUGUUCAACCACAAAAUGGUGAAUAUGGCUUUCUUGACUCAAGCCUCUGCUCCCUCAAAGAGGCCGUAACUCUACCUAUUGUGUGUCUACAACAUGUCCAGCGUGCUGUGACUCUCCCCCUAUGGAGAGGUGGUCCUGCCUGGACUGACCCCUGUGACAGGUGCACAGGUGAAUGCAGCAUCACUUCCGAGCUUGGGUAGAAAACCCCGUGGAGCUCCUGAAGACUCCCUUCUGGACACGGACACGGGUGCCUUCGCAAUACUGGCAGGGGGUGCCUCCUGCUGGCUUCCACGAAGCUGUCAUGUGGCAAAGUGAGAGAGAGAGAGAGAGAGAGAGAGAGAGACAUAGAGAUUCAGAUAAAUGGAGAAGAUAGAGACAGAGAGACAAAGAUACAGAGACAGAUGCAGUUUGAGAGAGGGAGAUACAGACAGAGAAGAUAAAGAAACAGAUAGACAGAUAAAGAUUAAGAAGUGGGGGGCAGGCCCAGGGACCCUCAGCUGUUUGAGUUUACCUGCCUGGGUCACAGGUAGGUGCAUGAAGGACGCUUCAGCCUUCCAGAUGACCAGCAGACCUCUGUAAAGUCUGGCCGCGGUUUCAUUGAGUGACUUUAAAUAAAAAGCAGCUGGCAGUGCUUCUUCAACUCCCACAUUGUAAGUUAAGUGAAUGAUCGUGAUUGAGGUGCUGUGUUGGGGUUGUUUGUAAGGCAGCCAGCAGAGGCAUCGAUUACUGAUACACCUAGUUUCAUAUUGACAGGAGAAGGCCAAAAAGCCAUUCUCAUUUUUAUUUCUUUAUAAGUAAACUCAUUUUCUUGGCUAGAGUGUAGGUAUUUUUUAAAUCUCAAAAGUUAAAGACAUUCAUCAAAAUCUUUUUUUCUUCAAUAUUUUGCCUUUUACUUAGGUAUUUCAUUUCUCAUAAUUUUUAUCUUAUUUUCUUCUUGCAUUUAUUGCAUUUGGAGAUUCUCAAGCAUGCCUUCAUUGCUGAUUUUCCUUCUACAGGACUGGUUGCUUCAAUCAGAACGCACAUGGUGAGUUUCCGAGCCUCGGUUCUGGGCAGCGCUCCUCCCCACCUCUGCCUGCACCUGGCUGGGCCCCACAUGCCUGCGACUGCAGCACCUCAUUCUUCCUCGGCCUUCACAGAGCUCAGGUUUCUGCCUGUUAAUUAAAACACAACCCAAGCAUGUUUUACCAUUUGCCUGCUGACCACUCCUCUAGCUCAGGGCCACACACAUUCUGUUCUUCUUUUGUUCUUAGCAUUUGACACUAUUUGACACAUUCGCUUUUUUAAUGAUGUUUUGGCUCCCUCUGUGAGAAUAUCAGGUCCGCAAGAGCUCGGCUGUGGUUUUGGUGCCUCUUUAUGCCCAGUGUGCUGAAUGCUGCCAGGCUCAUGCUAGCUCCUUAAGAAGUACUUGCAAUAUUACAUUUUAUCCAAUUAAAUUGAAUUUUGUUUUCCACAGAGUCCAUUUUGAAAUGUAUGUUUUCAUCUUUACUCUGAUUUUCUUUAUUUCUCCUACCACUCUCUUUAUGCAUUGUUACUUGAUUUUCUGUUAACUGAGUUUUGAGGGAGGAGAAGUUGGCCACUGUUGCCCACUGGCUGGGUGAGUGAGUCCGGUUCUCCCUUCUUACCAUCGGUUUGGUGGUUGUUGGAACUCGUCGAGCUUAAGGCGGGGAUCUGUGGAGGCACACGGCCCACAGUCAUGGUAGUCUGGAUGCCUGCCUUUCCCCGAGGCCAUCCUAAAACGCAGGUAUGACUCUUUUUUUUUUUUCUUCUUUUUUUGAGACGGAGUCUCGUUCUGUCGCCUAGGCUGGAGUGCAGUGGCUCGAUCUCGGCUCACUGCAAGCUCCGGCUCCUGGGUUCACGCCAUUCAUUCUCCUGCCUCAGACUCCCGAGGAGCUGGGACUACAGGUGCCUGCCACCACGCCCGGCUAAUUUUUUGUAUUUUUUAGUAGAGACGGGGUUUCACCAUGUUAGCCAGGAUGGUCUCAAUCUCCUGACCUCGUGAUCCGCCCACCUCGGCCUCCCAAAGUGCUGGGAUUACAGGCGUGAGACAGGGCACCCGGCAAAAUGCAGGUAUGACUCUUUUGUCCACUCUGCUGUUAGCUGGAAUGGACUGCUGCAGGCUUGUGAUGGGCCAUCUUAAAGAGGGAGACAGAGGCAGUCAGCUGAGGAGAAGCACCUGCUCUGUGAGGUGCUGGGGUCUUCCCUUCCCGGCUCCUGCUGCUCCCUGACCAGGCAGAGGCAG